UUCAUUCUAUCCUCUUUGAUCAUUCAAAAUAGUUCAUCUACAUCUUUUUUACUUUCAUAUUCUAGUUGGUGCCUCUUUACAUUGCUCAGACAAGUGAAACACAGAUAAUAUUUUAAAAAUUAUUUCUGUGCUUGGUGUGGUCUAAAUAUUCCAUGAAUUGUGGGACAGUCUUUCUUUCAGAAAUAUUCAGAACACAUCUGUUCUCUGGUGUCCGAUGACAUGGUCCUCAGAUUUUGGUCUUGGUUUCUACCAGUAUUUCCACGUUGUUGUCUCCACAAUAAAAGAAAUACAUUUUCACAGUGCAAGUAUACAGCUCUUCUGGCUAUAUAAAACAAGAAUUGACAAACAAAAUGUGGCUUCAGACUUGACUGUAAGGACUAGCAGUGCUUAUCUUCAUAUGACAGCAGUAUCAUUUACUAAUUACUUAUUACUACAUUUUGUUAGUACUUAGAAAUAUGGUUUUGUGGAUCUGUAAUCUCAUGUAAUGCAAUUAUAAACAUACGACAAAAUAAUUUGGUCCUAAGGACCUCUGUUCAGUAACGACAGUACCAAGUUUGCCAUUUCAUGUUUUUCCUAAUGAUUUAAGUCACCUUUCAAAAUGGAAAAAAAUGUUAGUUCUAUUUUAUUUUUGAUAGAAAUCACAUCCAAAGCUGACCUAUUUCUCAUUGUUAUACAUUCCUUCUUAUUUUUGAGGUAGUAGGUAUGAACAUACUAAAAUAGUAUUAGUCUGACAUACUGACUGUGCCAUAAAAAUAAAUAAUGUAUUUUGAGUAGAUUGUUAUAUUCA
This 787-nucleotide long non-coding RNA is filed under the name Anser brachyrhynchus (Pink-footed goose). Its description in RNAcentral is "lncRNA (ENSABRG00000013403.1)". The record is from RNAcentral. Lineage: Eukaryota; Metazoa; Chordata; Aves; Anseriformes; Anatidae.